AUUGAACGCUGGCGGCAGGCCUAACACAUGCAAGUCGAGCGGAUGAGGGGAGCUUGCUCCUGGGUUCAGCGGCGGACGGGUGAGUAAUGCCUAGGAAUCUGCCUGGUAGUGGGGGAUAACGUCCGGAAACGGGCGCUAAUACCGCAUACGUCCUGAGGGAGAAAGUGGGGGAUCUUCGGACCGCACGCUAUCAGAUGAGCCUAGGUCGGAUUAGCUAGUUGGUGGGGUAAAGGCCUACCAAGGCGCCGACCCGUAACUGGUCUGAGAGGAUGACCAGUGACACUCGAACUGAGACAAGGUCCCGACUCCGCAGGGAGGCAGCAGUGCGGACUGUUGUCCAUGGGGCGAAAGCUUGAUCCAGGCGGGGCGCGCGCGGGACGAAAGUCCUCGGAUCGUAAAGCCCUCUGCGUUGGGAUGAAAGGCUGUAGGUUUUGCCCUUGCUGCCCGGACGUUACCCACAGAAUAAGAACAGGAUCACCUCGUC
RNAcentral lists this ribosomal RNA (484 nucleotides) under uncultured bacterium. Its description in RNAcentral is "partial 16S ribosomal RNA". It matches the Rfam family "Bacterial small subunit ribosomal RNA", at positions 28 to 507 of the family's 1533-position model. The record is from RNAcentral.